This is a long non-coding RNA of Rhododendron vialii, 495 nucleotides long. RefSeq lists it as uncharacterized. Lineage: Eukaryota; Viridiplantae; Streptophyta; Magnoliopsida; Ericales; Ericaceae. The record is from RefSeq and is a predicted model, not a curated record. The transcript is spliced from 2 exons.
AAAUCAUUCCUAAGUUUGAAAGAUCAUAUCGUAUGACUCGUCGAGCGUAUCUGUGCCACUGGUUUUUGUUAGCAUAGUUGGAGUAUCGUUGUAAAGGUCAUAGUAGCGUAAAGGAGUUCGUGAACAUCAUAGACUAUAAGGAAUAUUGUGACAUGCAUAAUUGGUAGAGAAGUACUUGUCUGAUUAAAUUGAGAAAUGACUAGAUGGUUUGGUGUUUGUAAAUUGGAAACGCGAAUUGAAAUGUGAAUAACAAACGGACACAACGAGAACAUUCAGGACUCAUCGAUGGGUGAGUGUCUGGCAGAGGACAUCGGGGUCCUUUAACUGGCCCGGCAGGAGCUAAAUGCUCAUAUUGGAUACUUCCGGACUCAUCUAUGGGUGAGUGACUGGCAGAGGACAUCGGGGUCCUUUAAUUGGCCCGGCAGGAGCUUAGGCUCAAACACAUGAUACGAAAUUGGUUUAUGAAGUUGAUAAAAGAGAUUUUGGUUUUGGUUU